Molecule: long non-coding RNA, 1093 nt
Filed under: Felis catus (domestic cat)
Lineage: Eukaryota; Metazoa; Chordata; Mammalia; Carnivora; Felidae
Description: lncRNA (ENSFCAG00000049668.1)
Source: RNAcentral
CGGGCGCCCGUCCCCCGGCACGGAGCACUGCGGAUGCGGCGCGGGGCCGGCGCGGGGCUCCGGGCGCGCUCGGGGGUCGUGAGCGCCGCGCCCCGCGCCCCCGCGCGCCCCCCGCCCGCCCGCGCGCCCCGCCGGGGCCAUGCAGUCGCUUAUCUCGCCGGUGACCAAGGCGAUCCUGGUGGCCCUGUUCAUCUUCGCAAAUCCUGCUCAUCCUGUACGUGAUACUCUGGUACAUCUGCCGCGAUGUGGACUGCGACCACGGCAUCUGAGCCCCGCGGCGCCCUGGGCGCCCCGCCCCGGGCAUGGGGGCCGCGCGCCCGCCGCCGGGCCGUGACCUUCAGGGACGGAGCGCGGAGAGCCGGGCCCCUGGAGGGACGGAGAGUUCUGGUGGCCGUGCAGUCUCUGUUCACCUGUUCUCCAGAGGUGAUGAGAACAUCUCCAUCGCGAGCCACCACGGGCAGCCCAGGACUCCAACGUAACGGGGUGCAUCCCUGCAGCUCAGCGCUCGGCGCUUUUCUGGAGACAGCCGAGGAGCAUGCCCCAUCCCAGCCACACUGUGGGGGUGAAGGGUGGGGUGACCGCCCAUGAGGAUUACGGCCAUCCCCCCGUCAUUCAUGUUGCCAAGCCAUGACCAGGCGGCCAGGACUCGUGGGCGGUGUCUCCCCCGGGGCCAUGCUGGCAUCCGUAACCUCCAUACACCCUUGUGGUCCCAUCCAGCCAUCCCUGCCCGCCCGCCUGGCCCAGUCUGUCGUGAAGUUUCGUCAGCCUUUUGCGUGUGCAUAGUCCCAACUCCCAGGGGUUCCGGCGCCCGUCGGAAGGGUUCGCCUGCUCAUUCCUGGCUAGGCCAGUUCAGAGGACCAUCAGCUUCAAGUUAUAGCGUCGUUAAGGAGAAGACGGCAUGUUCUGGGAGGAUCGAGCGACCCUCUAAGAUACACACCAGAGACUUUGCACGGGCCAUCAGACGGUUCCGCAAACUCGUAGACACCCAUCUAACGUGUGAUGAAUGGCGCCUCUGUGUUGUUUUGUUAUAGCUUCCGCCUCCCCACGUGGAGAGGGCCAAUAAAGACAAAGCUGAGACAUUAUGGCUAUUCCA